GAUAGGACUGAAAUACAGAAGUGCUACCUCAAGAGGAUGUGACCAGAUACACUGCAAGGCAGAGGCAAGAUUUUUCCCAACAUUUUUGUGCUGGUGAGCCUUGAAGUGAGAGACAGAGCUCCCAACCUGUUAAAAGCCAAACUGAAGCAAAGUGGAGCUCCCCAGGAUCUCGGCCCUGGGCGUCUCGCCCUGAAGCAGAAGACAACAUUGUCACUGAAAACAGCAAGUUCCCAUUCACAGUUAUGUCUCAUGUUAAUUACUACAGACAAAAUUCUCCUUGAUCUCAAUCACACGGGUCACAACAGAGAAGUUUAGCACUUCAGAACAUCGAGCUUUGCUUUCAUCUGCAUGCAGGACAUCACUCUGAAAUUGCUUUUAAUCAAUUAAGG
Oxyura jamaicensis (ruddy duck) is the source of this 389-nucleotide long non-coding RNA. RefSeq lists it as uncharacterized. The transcript is spliced from 2 exons. Lineage: Eukaryota; Metazoa; Chordata; Aves; Anseriformes; Anatidae. The record is from RefSeq and is a predicted model, not a curated record.